RNAcentral lists this ribosomal RNA (587 nucleotides) under Staphylococcus aureus. RNAcentral's name for it is "partial 23S ribosomal RNA". It matches the Rfam family "Bacterial large subunit ribosomal RNA", at positions 1578 to 2166 of the family's 2925-position model. Lineage: Bacteria; Bacillati; Bacillota; Bacilli; Caryophanales; Staphylococcaceae. The record is from RNAcentral.
UUGUGUCUUCGAGUCGUUGAUUUCACACUGCCGAGAAAAGCCUCUAGAUAGAAAAUAGGUGCCCGUACCGCAAACCGACACAGGUAGUCAAGAUGAGAAUUCUAAGGUGAGCGAGCGAACUCUCGUUAAGGAACUCGGCAAAAUGACCCCGUAACUUCGGGAGAAGGGGUGCUCUUUAGGGUUAACGCCCAGAAGAGCCGCAGUGAAUAGGCCCAAGCGACUGUUUAUCAAAAACACAGGUCUCUGCUAAACCGUAAGGUGAUGUAUAGGGGCUGACGCCUGCCCGGUGCUGGAAGGUUAAGAGGAGUGGUUAGCUUCUGCGAAGCUACGAAUCGAAGCCCCAGUAAACGGCGGCCGUAACUAUAACGGUCCUAAGGUAGCGAAAUUCCUUGUCGGGUAAGUUCCGACCCGCACGAAAGGCGUAACGAUUUGGGCACUGUCUCAACGAGAGACUCGGUGAAAUCAUAGUACCUGUGAAGAUGCAGGUUACCCGCGACAGGACGGAAAGACCCCGUGGAGCUUUACUGUAGCCUGAUAUUGAAAUUCGGCACAGCUUGUACAGGAUAGGUAGGAGCCUUUGAAACGUG